This 465-nucleotide ribosomal RNA is filed under the name uncultured bacterium. RNAcentral's name for it is "partial 16S ribosomal RNA". It matches the Rfam family "Bacterial small subunit ribosomal RNA", at positions 338 to 795 of the family's 1533-position model. The record is from RNAcentral.
CCUACGGGGGGCUGCAGUGGGGAAUAUUGCGCAAUGGGCGAAAGCCUGACGCAGCGACGCCGCGUGAGGGAUGAAGGUCUUCGGAUCGUAAACCUCUGUCAGCAGGGAAGAACGGUCACUGUGCUAAUCAGCAGUGAAUUGACGGUACCUGCAAAGGAAGCACCGGCUAACUCAGUGCCAGCAGCCGCGGUAAUACGGAGGGUGCGAGCGUUAAUCGGAAUUACUGGGCGUAAAGCGGUCGUAGGCGGUAUGUCAAGUCAAGGGUGAAAUCCCCGGGCUCAACGUGGGGACUGCCUUUGAAACUGGCAAACUGGAGUGUGUGAGAGGUAAGUGGAAUUCCAGGUGUAGGAGUGAAAUGCGUAGAUAUCUGGAAGAACAUCAGUGGCGAAGGCAGCUAACUGGCACAUAACUGACGCUGAGGAGCGAAAGCGUGGGUAGCAAACAGGAUUAGAUACCCUGGUAGUC